GCUUGUUGCAUGAUGAUCAUCCUUCCUCAUUCAUCAUUCUCAUAAGUAGAGUGCAUCAUUCAAGCCAAGCAAGCACUGGUCAAUACAAAUCCAUCAUGAAGACAUUUCUCAUCAUUUCCCUCCUUGCUAUCGUGGCGACCACCGCCACAACUGCAGUUAGAGUUCCAGUGCCACAAUUGCAGCCGCAAAAUCCAUCUCUGCAGCAACCACAAGAGCAAGUUCCAUUGGUGCAACAACAACAAUUUCCAGGGCAGCAACAAACAUUUCCACCACAACAGCCAUAUCCGCAGCCGCAACCAUUUCCAGCACAACAACCAUAUCCGCAGCCGCAACUAUUUCCACAGCCGCAACCUUUUCCGCCACAACUUCCAUAUCCGCAGCCGCAACCAUUUCCCCCACAACAACCAUAUCCACAACCGCAAACACAGCAUCUGCAACCACAACAACCAAUUUCGCAGCAACAAGCACAACAACAACAACAACAACAACAACAACAACAAAUCCUUCAACAAAUUCUGCAACAACAACAACUGAUUCCAUGCAGGGAUGUCAUCGUCUUGCAACAACACAACAUAGCGCAUGAAAGCUCACAAGUAUUGCAGCAAAGUAGUUACCAAGUGUUGCAACAAUUAUGUUGUCAGCAGCUGCGGCAGAUCCCCGAGCAGUCGCGGUGCCAAGCCAUCAACAAUGUCGUUCAUGCUAUUAUUCUGCAUCAACAACAACAACAACAAGGACAACAUCAACAGUCGAGCCAGGUCUCCUACCAGCAGCCUCAGCAACAAUAUCCAUCAGGCCAGGGCUCCUUCCAGCCAUCUCAGCAAAAUCCACAGGCCCAGGGCUUUGUCCAACCUCAACAUCUGCCCCAACUCGAGGAAAUAAGUAACCUAGCGCUGCAGACGCUACCAGCAAUGUGCAAUGUCUACAUCCCUCCAUAUUGCUCGACCACCAUUGCGCCAUUUGGCAUCUUCGGUACUAACUGAGAAGAGAAGAACUCUAGUACUAGAUAUAUGAAACACCGUGUUCUUAGUCCAUGGUUUGGUCGUUGUACCGUUGAAAAUAUAAGGUGACAUGCACUAUCAUGUAAGAACCCGAACUAUACUAGUUCAAACUUGGGAAUAAAAGACAAACACAUGUCUUGUCUGCAUAUGAUUGUUUAUUUGAGUUCCAUUCCUAUGCCCAUUCACAAGUUCACCCCUAAUUAUAUAUAUUACACAUUAAGUAGAUAUUUAUGUUGCAUUAAUCUGAAGAUAACAAAGUGAGUCUGAAACUUGAAUUAUUUUCUUGGACUUUCAAAUUGUGUAUUAUUAAAGUAGUAAGGACUAUCCACAUCCUUGGCUUGCCCUUGAUCAAUUAUUCCCAGAGAAGCUUUCAGUUCAUAAAUCAAUUACAUUGAUUUUUGUGAAUGGUACAUCUCCUCAUCACGAGUAUCAUUACGGCUACUCCAAAUCGCCCACAUAACCGAAGCAUUAAUAGCGCCCUUCUUGCAUCCGGAAAUAUGGAUCGAAGAUAUCACUUGACCAUGUUUCCAGGUGCAACCUUGGGAUUUUUAUGUGAAAAUAUUCUCAAGCAAAAUCCAAGAAUAAACUUGCAUGCUCACGUGUGAUGAGGGCAGAUGAAGUAACAUUUCCUCCCCAUGGCCACACAUAGGGCACACACAUAACCCCAUCACAUGCCUUUUUAGUUAUGCAUAUGAAAGGUAGGAUGUUUUUAAUUACUCUCCACCAAAAUACUCUUAACUUGGCUUGUACCCUAAUAUUUCGUUGCCUUUUCAAUUGUUCUUCCCCAUUAGACAAAGUAGACAGUCCAUCUACCACACCGUACCUUGUGUCCAUCAUUGCUCUGUACAACAAUUGAACAGAACAAAUGUCAUUUCUUUACGAUACCCACGACCAAAUGUCCUCUGCUGGAUUGUUUGGUCGUGGCAUAUUAAGGAUGGCCACCUCAUCUCAUGGGGUAAACACCUAAUGAAUGAAAGGAUUGUUCUAGUCGCCCGUGUUUUUCAUCGAUAAGAUCAUCUACAAGUUGGACCGAAGUUUCUCACAUGCAUCAUAGUGGUUUCAUUAGCGGCGUGCCCUGCACCCAUUUAUCACGUCGUAUCUCUGUAGUAUGUGCAUUCCCAAUUUGUCACAGCAUACCCUCCUUCAAACCUUCUUUCCCUUUCAGAUUAGCACGCCAAGUUAGCUAUGCACUAUGCGGGAACCAGCAUUUGAAAAAAAAGAAUCUCAUUUCAUGGUAUCUUCCAUGAAGGACCCUCGUACAUUAGCUAUCUAGGUAGAAAUAGCCAUGUGUGUUUAGCAAACUUUAAAUAAGUGAAUAGAUCAAGGUCGUGGAACCCCAAGCCUCCAAUUACACAUGGCCUCUCUACCAAUAAGAUCUCCAAAGACAUCAAGGAUACAGACAGCCAAAAAAGAAAAUAAAAAUAAAAAAAAUAAAAAAUACCCUGCCAUGGUGAUCAAUCACAAGCAUCAACAGCACUCUAACCACCACCAAAGACAAUGCCCAGAUUACAAAAAAAAAUUAUCCAAAAACAAUGCCCCCAAGAAGGAAACAAUACACAAGCGUUGUCGUUGCCCGAUCGAAGAUCGUGGGUUUUCACCCUGGAAAAUUUUCGAGUUCACCCAAAAACAAUGCCUUCAACAAGGCCAUUGCCAAGUACAACAAAUAUGGUCGAGACCUUGGGUUUUCACCCUGGGAAUUGAGACUCGAUGCUCGAGGAGUACCAGCAAAAAUGCAGUCCACUAGUGUUGCCGCCCCCACUUGGCGAGGCCACUGUUGCAAGUCACCAAACACCUGGCAUAUAGUUGUCAUCGCAUCCAAUACACCCUUCGGCCGAAGCUUCAAGACCUUGAUCCGUCUCCAACGUAUCUAUAAUUUUUGAUUGUUCCAUGCUAUUAUAUUAUCUGUUUUGGAUGUUUUAUAUGCAUUAUUGUGCUAUUUUAUAUGAUUUUUGGGACUAACCUAUUAAACUAGAGCCCAGUGUCAGUUCCUGUUUUUUCCUUGUUUUAGAGUUUCGUAGAAAAGGAGUACCAAAUGGAGUCCAAAUGGAAUUAAACUUUUGCGAUGAUUUUUCUUAGACCAGAAGACAUCUAGAGGACUUGGAGUGCACGUUAAGAAAGCCACGAGGCUGCCACAACGACAGAGGUGUGCCCCCACCCUUGUGGGCCCCUUGUGACUCUACCGACAUAUUUCUUCCGCCUAUAUAUUCUCAAAUAUUCCAAAACAUACUAGGAGAGCCACAAAAACACUUUUCCACCGCCGCAACCUUCUAUACCCGUGAGAUCCCAUGUAGGGGCCUUUCCCAGCAUCCUGUCGGAGGGGGAUUCGAUCACUGAGGGCUUCUACAUCAACACCAUUGCCUCUCCGAUGAAGCGUGAGUAGUUUACCACAGACCUAUGGGUCCAUAGCUAGUAUCUAGAUGGCUUCUUCUCUCUCUUUGAUUCUCAAUACCAUGUUCUCCUCGAUGUUCUUGGAGAUCUAUUCGAUGUAAUACUCUUUUUGCGGUGUGUUUGCUAAGAUCCGAUGAAUUGUGGAUUUAUGAUCAGGUUAUCUAUGAGUAUUAUUUGAAUCUCCUAUGAAUUCUUAUAUGCAUGAUUUGAUAUCUUUGCAAGUCUCUUCGAACUACCGAUUUGGUUUGGCCAACUAGAUUGGUUUUUCUUGCAAUGGGAGAGGUGCUUAACUUUGGGUUCAAUCUUGCGGUGCUCGAUCCCAGUGACAGAAGGGGAUGAUACGUCUCCAACGUAUCUAUAAUUUUUUAUUGUUCCAUGCUAUUAUUUUAUCAACCUUGGAUGUUUUAUAUGCAUUUAUAUGCUAUUUUAUAUGAUUUUUGGAACUAACCUAUUAACCUAGAGCCCAGUGCUAGUGCCAGUUUCUGUUUUUUUCCUUGUUUUAGGGUUUCGAAGAAAAGGAAUAUCAAAUGGAGUCCAAACGGAAUGAAACCUUCGGAAAAGUUAUUUUUGGAAAGAAAGUAAUACGGUAGACUUGGAGUGCACGUCCGGGGAUCAACGAGGAAGCCACGAGGCAGGGGGCGCGCCCACCCAUCUUGGGCACGCCCUCCACCCUCGUGGCUCCCCAAAUGUAUUUCUUCCACCUAUAUAUAUAUCCAUAUACCCCAAAACGAUCGAGGAGCACAAUAGAUCGGGAGUUUCGCCGCCAGAAGCCUCCGUAGCCACCGAAAGCUAAUCUAGACCCGUUCCGGCACCCUACCGGAGGGGGAAUCCCUCUCCGGUGGCCAUCUUCAUCAUCCCGGUGCUCUCCAUGACGAGGAGGGAGUAGUUCUCCCUCGGGGCAAAGGGUAUGUACCAGUAGCUAUGUGUUUGAUCUCUCUCUCUCUCUCUCUCUCUCUCUCUCUCUCUCGUGUUCUUGAGGUGAUACGAUCUUGAUGUAUCGCGAGCUUUGCUAUUAGAGUUGGAUCUUAUGUUGCUUCUCCCCCUCUACUUUCUUGUAAUGGAUUGAGUUUCCCCUUCGAAGUUAUCUUAUCGGAUUGAGUCUUUAAAAAUUUCAAAACACUUGAUGUAUGUCUUGCCGCGCGUAUCUGUCGUGACAAUGGGAUAUCAUGUUAUUCACUUGAUGUAUGUUAUGGUGAUCAACAUGCGGGUUCCGCCCAUGAACCUAUGCAUAGGGGUUGGCACACGUUUUGAGGUUCUAUGUGUUGGUUGAAUAGAUGAAUCUAGAUUGUGUGAUGCAUAUCGUAUAAUCAUACCCACGGAUACUUCAGGUGACAAUGGAGUAUCUAGGUGGCAUUAGGGUUUUGGUUGAUUUGUGUCUUAAGGUGUUAUUCUAGUACGAAAUCUAGGACUGUUUGUGACACUUAUAGGAAUAGCCCAACGGAUUGAUUGGAAAGAAUAACUUUGAGGUGGUUUUGUACCCUACCAUAAUCUCUUCAUUCGUUCUCCGCUAUUAGUGACUUUGGAGUGACUCUUUGUUGCAUGUUGAGGGAUAAUUAUGUGAUCCAAUUAUGUUAUUAUUGUCGAGAGAACUUGCACUAGUGAAAGUAUGAACCCUAGGCCUUGUUUCGACGCAUUGCAAUACCGUUUACGCUCACUUUUAUCAUUAGUUACCUUGCUGUUUUUAUAUUUUCAAAUUACAAAAACCUUUAUCUACCAUCCAUAUACCACUUGUAUCACCAUCUCUUCACCGAACUAGUGCACCUAUACAAUUUACCAUUGUAUUGGGUGUGUUGGGGACACAAGAGACUCUGUGUUAUUUGGUUGCAGGGUUGCUUGAGAGAGACCAUCUUCAUCCUACGCCUCCUACGGAUUGAUAAACCUUAGGUCAUCCACUUGAGGGAAAUUUGCUACUGUCCUACAAACCUCUGCACUUGGAGGCCCAACAACGUCUACAAGAAGAAGGUUGUGUAGUAGACACCAAGCUCUUUUCUGGCGCCGUUGCCGGGAAGGUGAGUGCUUGAAGGUAUAUAUUUAGAUCUUGCAAUUGAAUCUUUUUGUUUCUUGUUUUAGCACUAGUUUAGUUUAUAAAAGAAAACUACAAAAAAACGGAAUUGAGUUUACCUCACACGCUUCAUCUUUUUAAUAUCUUUCGUGAGUAUGAUGGAAAGAAAAAUUGUGCCAAAGUGUUAGAAGAAGAAUGCAUUAAAAUGUUUGGCAUUAAAUAUUUGAAUGAUGAGCAUUAUUGCAAUGUUGUUAGUAUGAAUUCCUUGAAUAUCCAUAGUGCUAAUGAUGAUUGCACUAGUUAUGAUGAAAAUGUCUCAUGUAAACAUGUCAAUUUUUGUGGAGUGCAUUGGGUUUGCAAGUACACACCAAUUAGGGAAGAUAGAUUUUGCAAGAGGCAUAAGUACUUAGAAACUAAAUUGUUGCAAGAAAGGCUAGAUGAAUGUGCUGAAAAUUUAAAUUUUCUUGGCCAUACUUGUGAGCUUUGCCAUGAACAUGGUCAUUUAACCAUCCGAUGCAAAUUGUUUCAUGAUCUAAUCAUUUCCAAAAAUUGUGAUGACUUGAUUUCCCUUGCACAUCAUAAUGAACUUAGUUUGCUUAUGGGUUAUGAAGAAAUGAAAUGUAUAACUAACUAUCUUCCAGUAUUUGCCCGUGAUAAACUUCUUGGAUUUGAUCUAGAGGAAAUUUAUAUGUAUUGUGCGGUGAAUUGCAUUGAAAACCCCUAUAUUGCCAAUUACAUAAAGAAAAGAAAACAAAUAGAGGAUGAACAGAAUACUAAUGAAAGGGAAGAAACCUUCCAAUAUCCUCCUAUUAUUUCUUAUAAUGAACUAGGUAACGAGGAGGAGCCUCCUAUUCAACCAAUCUCAUUAAUAAGGAGCUCCAAAAAGAGGAUUGAACCCACACACGAUGUAGUGAAGAAGAAGAAAAGAAAGAGGAAGAGAGGUAAGAAGAUAUCUCUCCCAAAUAAUGCUGCUCCUAUUACUAUUGUGCCUCAUGAAAAUAUAAUUGUGGAAGAUAAUGAUACUUCUUAUGAUCUUGAUAAUCCUUUUGUCACUUGCUUGGAAGAAUAUGAUAAUUGCUAUACUAUUGGUUCUAUCCAUACUAUUAAUGAUGAGAGUGAUUAUGCUUAUGAUAUGAAAAGGCCCAAGCUUUGGGAUGCUAUGUUGGAUGAAGAUGAUGUUUUUGAGAAUAUAUUUGCUACAAUUAAUGUUUGUCCCAAGCUUGGGGAUGCUACGUUUAAUCAAGAUGAUAUUUUUAGUCUCCCAAGUUUUGAUAUGCAAAUUUAUAAUGAUGAUAGCAUGCCUCCUACUUAUGAUGAUUAUUGUGAUGAUACUUAUGCUAUAAAAAGUAGUGAUUAUAUUUAUAAAACUUGUCAUGAUUAUGGUUACCCCUUUUCUGAACAUUACUCUUUUAAUGUGGAAACAAUUUAUAGUAUUCGAGUUUCUUAUGAUACUCCCACUAUUCCGAAUGAGAAGAAUUUUGCUUGUGUAGAGAGUAAUAAAAUUUCUAUGCUUGUAGAUCAUGAAAAGAAUGCUUUAGGUUCUGGUUAUAUUUUUGAAUUCAUUCAUGAUGCUGCUGAAAAUUAUUAUGAGGGAGGAACAUAUGCUUGUAGGAAUUGCAAUAAUAUCAAGUUUCCUCUCUAUGUGCUUAAAGUUUUGAAGUUAUGCUUGUUUUGCCCUCCUAUGCUAGUUGAUUAUUGUUCCCAUAAGUUGUUUGCUCACAAAAUCCCUAUGCAUAGGAAGUGGGUUAGACUUACAUGUUCUAGUCAUAUGCUUCAUGAUGCUCUCUUUAUGUUUCAAUUCUUAUCUUUUAUGUGAGCAUCAUUGAAAUCAUCAUGCCUAGCUAGGGGCGUUAAACGAUAGCGCUUGUUGGGAGGAAACCCAACUUUAUUUUUGUUCCUUGAUUUUUGCUCCUGUCUAGCAAUAAAUAAUUUAUCUAGCCUCUGUUAUGAUUGAGUUUUUAUGUUAGAACCGUUGGGAAGACUUGGGGAAAGUCUUGGCGAUCAUGCUGUAAAAAAACAGAAACUUUAGCGCUCACGAGAACUGCUGACAUUUUUUAUUGGAGAGUGCUAUUUGGUUAAUUAUUUUUGCAGAUGAUUAAUAGAUAAAUUCCUCAUGUCCAGCAAUUUAUUUUAGAAUUUUUGGGGCUCCAGAAGUUUGCGUUAGUUACAGAUUACUACAGACUGUUCUGUUUUUGACAGAUUCUGUUUUUCGUGUGUUGUUUGCUUAUUUUGAUGAAUCUAUGGCUAGUAAAAUAGUUUAUAAACCAUAGAGAAGUUGUAAUACAGUAGGUUUAACACCAAUAUAAAUAAAUAAUGAGUUCAUUACAGUACCUUGAAGUGGUGUUUUAUUUUCUUUCGCUAACGGAGCUCAUGAGUUUUCCAUUUUAAGUUUUGUGUUGUGAAGUUUUCAAGUUUUGGGUAAAGAUUUGAUGGAUUAUGGAAUAAGGAGUGGCAAGAGACUAAGCUUGGGGAUGCCCAAGGCACCCCAAGGUAAUAUUCAAGGACAACCAAAAGCCUAAGCUUGGGGAUGCCCCGGAAGGCAUCCCCUCUUUCGUCUUCGUUCAUCAGUAACUUUACUUGGAGCUAUAUUUUUAUUCACCACAUGUUACGUGUUUUGCUUGGAGCGUCAUUUUAUUUCAUUUUGUUUUGCUUGCUGUUUGAAUAAAGUAUCAAGAUAUGAAAUUAUUAAGUGGGAGAGUCUUCACAUAGUUGCAUAAGUAUUCGACUACUCAUUGAUCUUCACUUACAUCUUUCAGAGUAGUUUGUCAUUUGCUCUAGUGCUUCACUUAUAUCUUUUGAGAGCACGGUGGUGGUUUUAUUUUGUAGAAAUAGAUGAACUCUCGUGCUUCACUAAUAUUAUUUUGAGAGUCCUUAGAACAGCAUGGUAAUUUGCUUUGGUUAUGAAUUUAGUCCUAAUAUGAUGGGCAUCCAAGAGGGAUAUAAUAAAAACUUUCAUAUAAGUGCAUUGAAUACUAAGAGAAGUUUGAUACUUGAUGAUUGUUUUGAGAUAUGGAGAUAGUGAUAUUAAAGUUGUGCUAUUUGAGUAGUUGUGAAUUUGAGAAAUACUUGUGUUGAAGUUUGCAAGUCCCGUAGCAUGCACGUAUGGUAAACGUUAUGUAACAAAUUUGAAACAUGAGGUGUUCUUUGAUUGUCCUCCUUAUGAAUGGCGGUCGGGGACGAGUGAUGGUCUUUUCCUACCAAUCUAUCCCCCUAGGAGCAUGCAUGUAGUGCUUGGUUUUUGAUGACUUGUAGAUUUUUGCAAUAAGUAUGUGAGUUCUUUAUGACUAAUGUUGAGUCCAUGGAUUAUAUGCAUUCUCACCCUUCCAUCAUUGCUAGCCUCUUCGGUACCGUGCAUUGCCCUUUCUCACAUUGAGAGUUGGUGCAAACUUCGCUGGUGUAUCCAAACCCCGUGAUAUGAUACACUCUUUCACACAUAAACCUCCUUAUAUCUUCCUCAAAACAGCCACCAUACCUACCUAUUAUGGCAUUUCCAUAGCCAUUCUGAGAUAUAUUGCCAUGCAACUUUCCACCAUUCUGUUUAUCAUGACACAUUCAUCAUUGUCAUAUUGCUUAGCAUGAUCAUGUAGUUGACAUAGUAUUUGUGGCAAAGCCACCAUUCAUAAUUAUUUCAUACAUGUCACUCUUGGUUCAUUGCAUAUCCCGGUACACCGCCGGAGGCAUUCAUAUAGAGUCAUAUCUUGUUCUAGUAUCGAGUUGUAAUCUUUGAGUUGUAAAUAAAUAGAAGUGUGAUGAUAAUCAUUAAUAGAGCAUUGUCCCAAAAAAAGGAAGAGAAAGGCCAAAUAAAAAAGGGAAGCCCCCCCAAAAAAAGAAAAGAAAGGCCAAAAAAAAGAAAGGCCAGAUAAAAAAAUAAAAAAAUAAAAAAAUAAAAGGGACAAUGCUACUAUCCUUUUUCCACACUUGUGCUUCAAAGUAGCACCAUGAUCGUUAUGAUAGAGAGUCUCUUGUUUUGUCACUUUCAUAUACUAGUGGGAACUUUUUAUUAUAGAACUUGGCUUGUAUAUUCCAACAAUGGGCCUCCUCAAGUGCCCAAGGUCUUUGUGAGCAAGCAAGUUGGAUGCACACCCACUUAGUUUCUUUUGUUGAGCUUUCAUACAUUUAUGGCUCUAGUGCAUCCGUUGCAUGUCAAUCCCUAAUACUUGCAUUAACAUCAAUUUAUGGGCAUCUCCCUAGCCCAUUGAUUAGCCGCGUCGAUGUGAGACUUUCGUCUUUUUGUCUUGUCCACAUAACCCCCUCAUUAUAUUCUAUUCCACCCAUAGUGCUAUAUCCAUGGCUCACGCUCAUGUAUUGCGUGAAAGUUGAAAAAAGUUUGAGAUUACUAAAGUAUGAAACAACUGCUUGGGUUGUCAUCGGGGUUGUGCAUGAUGAGAGCAUUCUUGUGUGACGAAAAUGGAGCAUGGCCAAACUAUAUGAUUUUGUAGGGAUGAACUUUCUUUGGCCAUGUUAUUUUGAAAAGACAUGAUUGCUUAGUUAGUAUACUUGAAGUAUUAUUAUUUUUAUGUCACUAUUAAACUUUUGUCUUGAAUCUUAUGGAUCUGAAUAUUCUUGCCACAAUAAAGAGAACUACAUGGAUAAAUAUGUUAGGUAGCAUUCCACAUCAAAAAUUCUGUUUUUAUCUUAUACCUACUCGAGGACGAGCAGGAAUUAAGCUUGGGGAUGCUGAUACGUCUCCAACGUAUCUAUAAUUUUUAUUGUUCCAUGCUAUUAUAUUAUCAACCUUGGAUGUUUUAUAUGCAUCUUUAUGCUAUUUUAUAUGAUUUUUGGGACUAACCUAUUAACCUAGAGCCCAGUGCUAGUUUCUGUUUUUUCCUUGUUCUAGGGUUUCGAAGAAAAGGAAUAUCAAACGGAGUCCAAACGGAAUGAAACCUUCAGAAAAGUUGUUUUUGGAAAGAAAGCAAUACGGGAGACUUGGAGUGCACGUCAGGGGAUCAACGAGGAAGCCACAAGGCAGGGGGCACGCCCACCCCCUGGGCGCGCCCUCCACCCUCGUAGGCCCCUCGUGGCUCCCCUGAUGCAUUUCUUCCACCUAUAUGUACCAAUAUACCCUAAAACGAUCGGGGAGCACAAUAGAUCGGGAAUUCCGCCGCCAGAAGCCUCCGUAGCCACCAAAAGCCAAUCUAGACCCGUUCCGGCACCCUGCCGGAGGGUGAAUCCCUCUCCGGUGGCCAACUUUAGCAUCCCGGUGCUCUCCAUGACGAGGAGGGAGUAGUUCUCCCUCGGGGCUGAGGGUAUGUACCAGUAGCUAUGUGUUUGAUCUCUCUCUCUCUCUCUCUCUCUCUCUCGUGUUCUUGAGGUGAUACGAUCUUGAUGUAUCACGAGCUUUGCUAUUAUAGUUGUAUCUUAUGUUUCUUCUCCUCCUCUACUCUCUUGUAAUGGAUUGAGUUUCCCCUUCGAAGUUAUCUUAUCGGAUUGAGUCUUUAAAGAUUUGAGAACACUUGAUGUAUGUCUUGCCGUGCGUAUCUGUGGUGACAAUGGGAUAUCACGUGAUUCACUUGAUGUAUGUUUUCGUGAUCAACAUGCGGGUUCCGCCCAUGAACCUAUGCAUAGGGGUUGGCACACGUUUUCGUCGUGAUUCUUCGGUAGAAACUUUGGUGCACUCUUUGAGGUUCUAUGUGUUGGUUGAAUAGAUGAACCUGAGAUUGUGUGAUGCAUAUCGUAUAAUCAUACCCACAGAUACUUGAGGUGACAAUGGUUUGCUCACAAAAUCCCUAUGCAUAGGAAGUGGGUUAGACUUAAAUGUUCUAGUCAUAUGCUUCAUGAUGCUCUCUUUAUGUUUCAGUUCUUAUCUUUUAUGUGAGCAUCAUUGAAAUCAUCAUGCCUAGCUAGGGGCGUUAAACGAUAGUGCUUGUUGGGAGGAAACCCAACUUUAUUUUUGUUCCUUGCUUUUUGCUCCUGUUUAGCAAUAGAUAACUUAUCUAGCCUCUGUUAUGAUUGAGUUUUUAUGUUUUAAUUAGUGUUUGUGCCAAGUAGAACCAUUGGGAAGACUUGGGGAAAGUCUUUGCGAUCAUACUGUAAAAAACAGAAACUUCAGCGCUCACGAGAAUUGAUGGGCAUCUCCCUAACCCAUUGAUUAGCCGCGUCGAUGUGAGACUUUCUCCUUUAUGUCUUCUCCACAUAACCCCCUCAUUAUAUUAUAUUCCACCCAUAGUGCUAUAUCCAUGGCUCGCGCUCAUGUAUUGCGUGAAAGUUGAAAAAAGUUUGAGAUUACUAAAGUAUGAAACAAUUGUUUGGCUUGUCAUCUGGGUUGUGCAUGAUGAGAGCAUUCUUGUGUGACGAAAAUGGAGCAUGACGAAACUAUAUGAUUUUGUAGGGAUGAACUUUCUUUGGCCAUGUUAUUUUGAGAAGACAUGAUUGCUUAGUUAGUAUGCUUGAAGUAUUAUUAUUUUUAUGUCAAUAUUAAACUUUUUUCUUGAAUCUUAUGGAUUUGAAUAUUCUUGCCAGAAUAAAGAGAACUACAUGGAUAAAUAUGUUAGGUAGCAUUCCACAUCAAAAAUUCGGUUUCAUUAGCGGCGUGCCCUGCACCCAUUUAUCACGUCGUAUCUCUGUAGUAUGCGCAUUCCCAAUUUGUCACGACAUACCCUCCUUCAAACCUUCUUGCCCUUUCAGAUUAGCACGCCAAGCUAGCUAUGCACUAUGCGGGAACCUGCAUUUGAAAAAAAAAGAAUCUCAUUUCAUGGUAUCUUCCAUGAAGGACCCUCGUACAUGAGCUAUCUAGAUAUAAAUAGCCCUGUAUGUUUAGCAAACUUUGCAUAAGUGAAUAGAUCAAGGUCGUGGAACCCCAAGCCUCCAAUUACACACGGCCUCUCUACCAAUAAGAUCUCCAAAGACAUCAAGGAUACAAACAGCCAAAAAAGAAAAUAAAAAGGAAAAAAAUAAAAAAUACCCCACCAUGGUGAUCAAUCACAAGCAUCAGCAGCACUCUAACCACCACCAAAGACAACGCCCAGAUUACAAAAAAAAAUCUCGAAAAGCAAUGCCCCCAAGAAGGAAACAAUACACAAGCGUUGUCGUUGCCCGAUCGAAGAUCGUGGGUUUUCACCCUGGAAAAUUUUUGAGUUCACCCAAAAACAAUGCCUUCAACAAGGCCAUUGCCAAGUACAACAAAUAUGGCCAAGACCUUGGGUUUUCACCCUAGGAAUUGAGAGUCGAUGCUCGAGGAGUACCACCAAAAAUGCAGUCCACUAGUGUUGCCGCCCCCACUUGGCGAGGCCGCUGUUGCAAGUCACCAAACACCUGGCAUAUAGUUGUCAUCGCAUCCAAUACACCCUUCGGCCGAAGCUUCAAGACCUUGAUCCGUCUCCAACGUAUCUAUAAUUUUUGAUUGUUCCAUGCAAUUAUAUUAUCUGUUUUGGAUGUUUUAUAUGAGUAGGGCGUUUUGGUGCCCAGGCUCAUCUGCACCCGGUUAGAAAAAAUUCAUAAAAAAUUGAAACAAAUUCAAAAAAUUCCAAAUAAAAUUUGUAUGGUAGACAAUUUGAUGCGUGAGGCCCGCCACAAAUUUCAAGUCAUUUGGACAUAUGAGAAGCUCUCAGCAAAAAAGACAAAUCGGACCAAAAUAGUACAUGAGCAGUAAACAUUUUUACAGACCCUCAAUUUGUCUUUUUUGCUGAGAGCUGCUCAUAUAUUCAAAUGACUUGAAAUUUGGAGCGGGCCCCGCACAUCAAAAUUUCUAUCACACAAAUUUUAUUUGGAAUUUUUUGAAUUUUUCUAGUAUUUGUUUUGAUUUUUUUCAUCGGCACGGGUGCAGAUGAGCUCAGGUGCAGAAAUGGAUUUU
This 13177-nucleotide long non-coding RNA is filed under the name Triticum aestivum (bread wheat). RNAcentral describes it as "long non-coding RNA (TAES_LNC019261)". Lineage: Eukaryota; Viridiplantae; Streptophyta; Magnoliopsida; Poales; Poaceae. The record is from RNAcentral.